Molecule: ribosomal RNA, 253 nt
Filed under: uncultured bacterium
Lineage: Bacteria
Description: partial 16S ribosomal RNA
Rfam family: Bacterial small subunit ribosomal RNA
Source: RNAcentral
UACGAAGGGGGCUAGCGUUGCUCGGAUUGACUGGGCGUAAAGGGCGCGUAGGCGGCUUGUACAGUCAGACGUGAAAUUCCUGGGCUCAACCUGGGGGCUGCGUUUGAUACGUAUGGGCUUGAGUUCGGAAGAGGGUCGUGGAAUUCCCAGUGUAGAGGUGAAAUUCGUAGAUAUUGGGAAGAACACCGGUGGCGAAGGCGGCCAUCUGGCCCACAUUUGACGCUGAGGCGCGAAAGCGUGGGGAGCAAACAGG